RNAcentral lists this ribosomal RNA (519 nucleotides) under uncultured eukaryote. Its description in RNAcentral is "SSU rRNA". It matches the Rfam family "Eukaryotic small subunit ribosomal RNA", at positions 1161 to 1699 of the family's 1831-position model. The record is from RNAcentral.
AGGGCACCACCAGGAGUGGAGCCUGCGGCUUAAUUUGACUCAACACGGGAAAACUCACCCGGCCCGGACACUGGAAGGAUUGACAGAUUGAGAGCUCUUUCUUGAUUCAGUGGGUGGUGGUGCAUGGCCGUUCUUAGUUGGUGGAAUGAUUUGUCUGGUUAAUUCCGAUAACGAACGAGACUCUAGCCUACUAAAUAGAUCGUCGGCUUACAAACGCCGGCGAGACUUCUUAGAGGGACAGGCGGUGAUUCAACCGCACGAAACAGAGCAAUAACAGGUCUGUGAUGCCCUUAGAUGUCCGGGGCCGCACGCGCGCUACACUGAAGUGAUCAGCGUGCUUUUUCAACCUACUCUGUCAAGAGUGGGGAACCCAAUGAACCUUCUUCGUGAUUGGGAUAGGGGAUUGUAAUUAUUCCCCUUGAACGAGGAAUUCCCAGUAAGCGCGAGUCAUAAGCUCGCGUUGAUUACGUCCCUGCCCUUUGUACACACCGCCCGUCGCUACUACCGAUUGAAUGUUUU